This 72-nucleotide transfer RNA is filed under the name Camelus bactrianus (Bactrian camel). It matches the Rfam family "tRNA". From Rfam's summary of the family: Transfer RNA (tRNA) molecules are approximately 80 nucleotides in length. Lineage: Eukaryota; Metazoa; Chordata; Mammalia; Artiodactyla; Camelidae. RNAcentral also lists the same sequence under 2 other names. The record is from Rfam by way of RNAcentral.
GAGGGUAGAGCUCAGCAGUGGAGCGCAUGCUUAGCAUGCACGAGGUCCUGGGUUCAAUCCCCAGUACCUCUG